GGAAUAUUGGACAAUGGGGGGAAACCCUGAUGCAGCGACGCCGCGUGAGUGAAGAAGUAUUUCGGUACGUAAAGCUCUAUCAGCAGGGAAGAAAAAUGACGGUACCUGACUAAGAGGCCCCGGCUAACUACGUGCCAGCAGCCGCGGUAAUACGUAGGGGGCAAGCGGUAUCCGGAUUUACUGGGUGUAAAGGGAGCGUAGACGGCUGUGCAAGUCUGAAGUGAAAUGCCGGGGCCCAACCCCGGAACUGCUUUGGAAACUGUACAGCUAGAGUGCAGGAGGGGUGAGCGGAAUUCCUAGAGUAGCGGUGAAAUGCGUAGAUAUUAGGAGGGACACCGGUGGCGAAGGCGGCUCACUGGACUGUAACUGACGUUGAGGCUCGAAAGCGUGGGGAGCAAA
This 399-nucleotide ribosomal RNA is filed under the name uncultured bacterium. RNAcentral describes it as "bacterial SSU rRNA". It matches the Rfam family "Bacterial small subunit ribosomal RNA", at positions 358 to 772 of the family's 1533-position model. The record is from RNAcentral.